Molecule: ribosomal RNA, 252 nt
Filed under: uncultured bacterium
Lineage: Bacteria
Description: partial 16S ribosomal RNA
Rfam family: Bacterial small subunit ribosomal RNA
Source: RNAcentral
GUCCACGCCGUAACGAUGGAUACUAGCUGUUGGGAGCAAUCUCAGUGGCUAAGCGAAAGUGAUAAGUAUCCCACCUGGGAGUACGUUCGCAAGAAUGAAACUCAAAGGAAUUGACGGGGCCCGCACAAGCGGUGGAGCAUGUGGUUUAAUUCGAUGAUACGCGAGGAACCUUACCAAGGCUUAAAUGUAGUUUGACCGAUUUGGAAACAGAUCUUUCGCAAGACAAAUUACAAGGUGCUGCAUGGUUGUCGU